RNAcentral lists this ribosomal RNA (443 nucleotides) under uncultured bacterium. RNAcentral's name for it is "partial 16S ribosomal RNA". It matches the Rfam family "Bacterial small subunit ribosomal RNA", at positions 338 to 795 of the family's 1533-position model. The record is from RNAcentral.
CCUACGGGUGGCAGCAGUGGGGGAUAUUGGACAAUGGGGGAAACCCUGAUCCAGCGACGCCGCGUGAGUGAAGAAGUAUUUCGGUAUGUAAAGCUCUAUCAGUAGGGAAGAAAGAAAUGACGGUACCUGAGUAAGAAGCCCCGGCUAACUACGUGCCAGCAGCCGCGGUAAUACGUAGGUGGCAAGCGUUAUCCGGAAUGACUGGGCGUAAAGGGUGCGUAGGUGGUUUAGUAAGUUGGCUGUGAAAUCCCGUGGCUCAACCUCAGGAUUACCGCAAAAACUAUUAGACUAGAGUGCAGGAGAGGUAAGUGGAAUUCCUAGUGUAGCGGUGAAAUGCGUAGAUAUUAGGAAGAACAUCAGGGGCGAAGGCGACUUACUGGACUGUAACUGACACUGAGGCACGAAAGCGUGGGGAGCAAACAGGAUUAGAUACCCUGGUAGUC